This 483-nucleotide ribosomal RNA is filed under the name uncultured bacterium. RNAcentral describes it as "partial 16S ribosomal RNA". It matches the Rfam family "Bacterial small subunit ribosomal RNA", at positions 28 to 523 of the family's 1533-position model. The record is from RNAcentral.
GAUGAACGCUGGCGGCGUGCCUAAUACAUGCAAGUCGAGCGAACCACCUCGGUGGUGAGCGGCGAACGGGUGAGUAACACGUAGGUGAUCUGCCCAUCAGACGGGGACAACGAUUGGAAACGAUCGCUAAUACCGGAUAGGACGUAAGUUUAAAGGUGCUUCUGGCACCGCUGAUGGAUGAGCCUGCGGCGCAUUAGCUAGUUGGUAGGGUAAGGGCCUACCAAGGCGACGAUGCGUAGCCGACCUGAGAGGGUGAACGGCCACACUGGGACUGAGACACGGCCCAGACUCCUACGGGAGGCAGCAGUAGGGAAUCUUCGGCAAUGGGCGAAAGCCUGACCGAGCAACGCCGCGUGAAUGAUGAAGGCCUUCGGGUUGUAAAAUUCUGUUAUAAGGGAAGAACGACUUUAGUAGGAAAUGGCUAGAGUGUGACGGUACCUUAUGAGAAAGCCACGGCUAACUACGUGCCAGCAGCCGCCGUAA